AGUGGAUUAUCUGGGUCAAAUGGUGAUUCCAUUCCAAGUUUUCUGAGGAAUCUUCAUACUGUUUUCCAUAAUGGUUGCACCAAUUUGCAGUCCCACCAGCAAU
This 103-nucleotide microRNA precursor is filed under the name Marmota monax (woodchuck). The record is from RNAcentral. Lineage: Eukaryota; Metazoa; Chordata; Mammalia; Rodentia; Sciuridae.